CCAGAGUGGGGGCCUUGAAUGCCAGGCUAAGGAGCCUGGCUCUGUCUUGGGGAAAGGGCGGGCCCUUUGAGGUUGAAUUCCUGACACUUGGCACCCAGGACCCGCAGAGGGUGCUGGGGAACCGCAUACAGAUCCUGAAUCAAGUUCAUAGCAGGGCAUCACUUUACAGAAUCUGGAGCGAGCCAGGCAGGUAGACUUGUUUUUGUUUUUUCUUUUUUGAGACAGGGUCUCAAUCUGUUGACCAGACUGGAGUGCGGUGGUGCGAUCACAGCUCACUGCAGCCUCGACUUCCUGGGCUGAAGCGAUCCUCCCACCUCAGCCUCCCUAGUAGCUGAGACUACAGGCUGGAGUGGAAUGGCGCAAUCUCGGCCCAUUGCAACCUCUGCCUCCUGGGUUCAAGUGAUUCUCGUGCCUCAGCCUCCGGAGUAACUAGGAUUACAGGCACGCACCAACAUGUCCGGCUAAUUUUUUAUUUUUAGUAGAGACAGGGUUUCACCAUGUUGGCCAGGCUGGUCUCGAACUCCUGACCUCAAGUGAUCUGCCCGCUUUGGCCUCCCAAAGAACUGGGAUUACAGGCGUGAGCCACCAGCCCGGCCUGCCUGGCUAAUUUUAAAAAUUUUUAGUAGAGACGGGAUCUCGCUCUGUUGCCCAGGAUGGUCUUGAACUCCUGAGCUCAAGCGAUCCUCCUGCUUCGGCCUCCCAAAGUGCUGGGAUUACAGGUGUGAGCCACUGCGCACAGCCAAUUAGACAUUCUUAUCCCCAUUGAACAGAUAAGAAAACUGAGGCCAUCUCAAGCUGGCCCUAAUCUAGCACACUGGCCUCCUCUCCCCUCUCCCACCGUGCAGCACCCCCUGUGGACACCACCUCUGUGUCCCCUGCCUUGCUCAGUGUUUUCUCCACUUGGAAUGUCACUCCACUGCCGAGGCUGUGUUACUUUGCAGAGAGCCACCCUCCCUCUCUCUUCAGUGGCUGCCCUGCCCUGGGUUCCCCCAGCAGGCAGUAAGCUUUAGGGGCACGGGGCCCCACUGGAUUCCUCCGUGGACACUUCCCAGUGUCAGAGCACAUGGGGUGAAUUGUGACCAAACCACUUGUCCCAAGCCCCAGCCCUGGUAGUUUCUCUGCAAUCCCCGGCCAGUGAGGCUGCCUGUGGGAAAGAGUCCACCACGCUCUCUCACACCCUCUUCUCUGUGCUGCAGCCCCUCCCACCCAGAACAUGCCUUUUCCUCCUGCAGCCACCUGGCUGACUCAUAUUCUUCAGCUCCCAGCUUAGGCAUUGCCUCCUCUAGGAUGCCUUCCCUCCCCUCCGGCCUGUAUCAGGUGUCCCACUUCUGCCCCUUCCAUUUAUUCAGUCAAUCCAC
RNAcentral lists this long non-coding RNA (1358 nucleotides) under Homo sapiens (human). RNAcentral's name for it is "HSALNT0177211". Lineage: Eukaryota; Metazoa; Chordata; Mammalia; Primates; Hominidae. The record is from RNAcentral.